CUCACUCAGCUUCCUGCGCGCUGAGACAUGUGGCAAUUCAGGCUGCUUGCUUGGGAGAUAACAUGCAGGGACACCCCCCACCAUGGCCUGGCUGAGGCAGGUGCAGGGUAAAGUGCCCACCAGGAUCCUGAGACCAAACAGAGAUUUUGAUUUCUACUGAAGUGGUUGCUGGUUUGUAUGUUGCAGUGGGGAACAAUAAAGCAGUGUCUAUACUGGCAAUUUCAGUGCUAACACUUUUGUCACUCAGCGGUGUGAACACCCCCCCACCCCAUCC
Molecule: long non-coding RNA, 274 nt
Organism: Mauremys reevesii (Reeves's turtle)
Lineage: Eukaryota; Metazoa; Chordata; Testudines; Geoemydidae
Exons: 2
Source: RefSeq, a predicted model, not a curated record